GAGCGUCAGCGUCGGUUGGCGUCGGGCGACAAGGAUGCGAGGAAGGUGAGCCGGUGCUUGCUGCCGGCUGUUAAGCCUCGCGAUCGCACGGCCCGACGCCGACCGUGGGACUGCGACGCGUGCCGCCUCUUUACAGGGGUGGCUGGAGACCCGUACCGAUCGGUCCGGCAUGUCGACCGCGGCGGACGGCACGCCUGUGCGCUCGAACUGCUGCCGGUCGAUCGAACGGUGCUCGCACACUACGCUUCGAGGACGCUGACGGCCAUACGGCUCCAUCCGACCCGUCUUGAAACACGGACCAAGGAGUCUAACAUGUGCGCAAGUCUCCGGGUGAUCGAAACCUGUGUGGGCACAAUGAAAGUAAAGACCGUCAUAGACGGUUGAGGUGAGAAGCGGCAUCUCGAAUGCCGUCACAUCAUCGACCGACCUAUUCUGCUCUCAGAGAGGUUUGAGUAAGAGCGCACCUGUUGGGACCCGAAAGAUGGUGAACUAUGCCUGAAUAGGGUGAAGCCAGCGGAAACACUGGUGGAAGCUCGUAGCGAUUCUGACGUGCAAAUCGAUCGUCGAAUUUGGGUAUAGCGGCGAAAGACUAAUCGAACCAUCUAGUAGCUGGUUCCCUCCGAAGUUUCCCUCAGGAUAGCUGGAGUCAAGCGAUGCAGU
This 660-nucleotide ribosomal RNA is filed under the name Cladiella sp. MB-A080542. RNAcentral's name for it is "eukaryotic LSU rRNA". It matches the Rfam family "Eukaryotic large subunit ribosomal RNA", at positions 494 to 999 of the family's 3401-position model. The record is from RNAcentral. Lineage: Eukaryota; Metazoa; Cnidaria; Anthozoa; Malacalcyonacea; Cladiellidae.